ACGGAAGAUGGGGAUUAUCAGGUAAAACUGCGCAACCUGAUACGUUUCCUAGAAGAGGGUGACAAAGCCAAAAUCACACUACGUUUCCGUGGUCGUGAAAUGGCACACCAAGAGCUAGGUAUGAAAUUGAUGAAUCGCAUCGAGGCAGACCUAGGUGAGCUUGUAGUGGUUGAGAGCCGUCCAAGGCUUGAAGGCCGCCAAAUGGUUAUGGUGUUGUCACCGAAGAAGAAAAAGUGACUCUGAAUCUUCAGCGUUAAACCAUCUGUAUUAUUAAAUGCAGGUGGUUUGUUGUUGUAUUCAGUUUUUAAUAAUUUGAAUGCGGAGUAUUUUUAAAAAUGCCUA
RNAcentral lists this unclassified non-coding RNA (342 nucleotides) under Oceanospirillum multiglobuliferum. Its description in RNAcentral is "Long range pseudoknot". The record is from RNAcentral. Lineage: Bacteria; Pseudomonadati; Pseudomonadota; Gammaproteobacteria; Oceanospirillales; Oceanospirillaceae.